CCAGCAGCCGCGGUAAUUCCAGCUCCAGUAGCGUAUAUUAAUGUUGUUGCAGUUAAAAAGCUCGUAGUUGGAUUUCUAGCCGAUUUGCAUGGUCCGUUGACUACGUCUGCGAGUACCGUCGUAAAUCGUCUAUCCUAUCAGUUUAUUUGGGUUACGGCCCAGGUUGACUGGUUCUUUUACUUUGAAAAAAUUAGAGUGUUUAAAGCAGGCUUGCGCAAUGAAUACAUUAGCAUGGAAUAAUAACAUAGGACUUCGGUCUCUAUUUUGUUGGUUUCUAGAACUGAAGUAAUGAUUGAUAGGGAUAGUUGGGGGUGCUAGUAUUCAGCGGCCAGAGGUGAAAUUCUCGGAUUCGCUGAAGACUAACUUAUGCGAAAGCAUUCACCAAGGAUGUCUUCUUUAAUCAAGAACGAAAGU
This 414-nucleotide ribosomal RNA is filed under the name uncultured eukaryote. Its description in RNAcentral is "SSU rRNA". It matches the Rfam family "Eukaryotic small subunit ribosomal RNA", at positions 567 to 990 of the family's 1831-position model. The record is from RNAcentral.